GAUGAACGCUGGCGGCGUGCCUAAUACAUGCAAGUCGAGCGAACGGACGAGAAGCUUGCUUCUCUGAUGUUAGCGGCGGACGGGUGAGUAACACGUGGAUAACCUACCUAUAAGACUGGGAUAACUUCGGGAAACCGGAGCUAAUACCGGAUAAUAUUUUGAACCGCAUGGUUCAAAAGUGAAAGACGGUCUUGCUGUCACUUAUAGAUGGAUCCGCGCUGCAUUAGCUAGUUGGUAAGGUAACGGCUUACCAAGGCAACGAUGCAUAGCCGACCUGAGAGGGUGAUCGGCCAAACUGGAACUGAGACACGGUCCAGACUCCUACGGGAGGCAGCAGUAGGGAAUCUUCCGCAAUGGGCGAAAGCCUGACAGAGCAACGCCGCGUGAGUGAUGAAGGUCUUCGGAUCGUAAAACUCUGUUAUUAGGGAGGAACAUAUGUGUAAGUAACUGUGCACAUCUUGACGGUACCUAAUCAGAAAGCCACGGCUAACUACGUG
This 497-nucleotide ribosomal RNA is filed under the name uncultured bacterium. RNAcentral's name for it is "partial 16S ribosomal RNA". It matches the Rfam family "Bacterial small subunit ribosomal RNA", at positions 28 to 507 of the family's 1533-position model. The record is from RNAcentral.